This 79-nucleotide transfer RNA is filed under the name Streptomyces sp. SID9727. Its description in RNAcentral is "tRNA-Ser". Lineage: Bacteria; Bacillati; Actinomycetota; Actinomycetes; Kitasatosporales; Streptomycetaceae. The record is from RNAcentral.
GGUCCCGAUUGGGCAGGCGGCACGGUCUUGAAAACCGUCGUGGCGCGAGUCACCGUGGGUUCAAAUCCCACACCCACCG